GUUGUCCCGACGGAAUAUCCUGCAGCAUGGCUGCCGAAUAACGGCACAGAACUUUACUCCUUUUUAGCAUGGACCUGGGCAUCGCUGAUAAGGUUUGAGCAAACAAAGUGCUGGAAGAACUCAGCAGGCCCAACAGCAUCUGUGGACUAUGGCUGAGGGACCGUCAAUGUUUCAGAUUUAUUUGAAGAACCAAGCUUAAAUGUCUCAUUGUGACCUCUGGAUUACUGGCCCCGUAAUUAAACCACUCCUUUCACAACAUUUGAUGAGAUCUUUCUCGCAGCGAUCGCUUUUCCUCAUCCAGUCCAGCCGAAGAGUCUUGGGACCUGAAAAGACUGUCCAUCCCCCUCUACAGUUGCAGUCUGACCUGCUGAGUUCUUCCAUCAGUUUGUUUGUUGCUCCAGGUUCCAGCAUCUGCAGUGUCUUGUAACUC
Molecule: long non-coding RNA, 430 nt
Organism: Mobula hypostoma (lesser devil ray)
Lineage: Eukaryota; Metazoa; Chordata; Chondrichthyes; Myliobatiformes; Myliobatidae
Exons: 3
Source: RefSeq, a predicted model, not a curated record